Molecule: ribosomal RNA, 372 nt
Filed under: uncultured organism
Description: bacterial SSU rRNA
Rfam family: Bacterial small subunit ribosomal RNA
Source: RNAcentral
CUAGGCAGCGAGCGUUAUCCGGAUUCACUGGGCGUAAAGCGCGUGCAGGCGGUGCGGUAAGUUGGGCGUGAAAAUCUCCCGGCUCAACUGGGAGAGGUCGUCCAAUACUACCGUACUUGAGAGCAGAAGAGGAAAAUGGAAUUCCCGGUGUAGUGGUGAAAUGCGUAGAUAUCGGGAGGAACACCAGUGGCGAAGGCGAUUUUUCUGGUCUGUUUCUGACGCUCAGACGCGACAGCUAGGGUAGUAAACGGGAUUAGAGACCCGGUAAUCCUAGCCGUAAACGAUGUGAACUUGGCGUUGGUGGGUUAAACUCCAUCAGUGCCGUAGCAAACGCGAUAAGUUCACCGCCUGGGGACUACGGCCGCAAGGUUA